This 3235-nucleotide long non-coding RNA is filed under the name Capra hircus (goat). Its description in RNAcentral is "lncRNA (ENSCHIG00010031981.1)". The record is from RNAcentral. Lineage: Eukaryota; Metazoa; Chordata; Mammalia; Artiodactyla; Bovidae.
AUGGGCUGCCGGCAAACCCUGGCUGAUACGGUUCAUCUACAGCUCUUGGAAGCACAAGGCUCCUGUCCCUGCCCCUGGCCAUCUCCGCAGGUCUGGAGUCCUGGAGGCUGGAGGCUCUUGGAGGAGAGGACUAUCGCCUUGAGAAACCCACCUCCAGGUAUGUGUUGUCAUCUUCCAGGUGUAUGUAGCAGCCCUCCAGGUAUGUUCAUCUGUCCUCAGGGUAUGUUACAUAGUUGUCCUCCAGAACUCAUAGAACUAAUUCUUGGUCAUACACUUUUCUUUCUUGGGGACCAGCGACUGACAGUAACUCCCAGACUGCCUCUCCCUAAGGUCAGGGGCAUACUUGGAUGGUCUCUAAGUCCCAGGUUGUGCCCAGUUAAGAGCUCAGUUAAGCAGGCUCAGGAUCCCACUCAGGUCUCCUAUGGGUCAGAGAUAUUUGAGAAGGGAGUGGGUGGUAGAGGUUAGGGGAUUAUUCCUGGCGGUAUUUUCUCCUCUGAUCCCACUGCCAGGAGAAGGCAUCCAGCCUGGCCUCCUGGAAGUGUGGGGGUAGGUGAUCCCAGGCUGGAUAACAACCCACCCCCAACACAAAAAGUGCUCCUGCCUAGGCUCAGCCUCCUCCACCCACCCCCUCCGGCCACCUCCCAAAUCCCCAAUCCCAGCAGCAAACCUCCGUGUUUGCCUGUUGCCAUGGCAAUGGGAUGCACCUUUCUGUUACCAUGGCAACAAGCCAGGGGUUUUUAAAAUUCAGUUGAGGUAAUUUCCACCCCUCAAUCCUCAUCCUCAGACACCUCAUUCUUCUCUUUUCUUCUCUGAAUCUUAGAAGGGAGGGGUUAGAAGACCAGAGGGGCCAGUUGGAAGACUUGGGCCCCAUCCCUCCCCAACUCCUUCAUGUACCCUAGACCCCAGAGAAGAGGGCACCCUCUUCCCCAUUCCCUGUCCAGAUCCAGGUCCACAGGGGAAAGAUGAGAGCUUUGCGUGGCUGGGCAGACAGAGGCCAGCACACUUGGGAAGCCUGGUUGAAAGUACAGCCUGUGUGGCUUUGCAGGAGCAGAGAGAGUCAUCAGGAACCCUCCCAGACCUCCCCUCCAUAUCUCCAGGGCUCAUGUGAGGAUCUCAGUCCGCUGGGACCCAGACCCCAGGACAAUAAGGCACAGAUGUUGUUUAUACCGUGUCCUGGUAUUAAAGAGCUUAGCUUAGGGAACCCUGUGCUGGCUGGAUUUGGGCAGAGGGCAUCUGAGAAGGAUUGAGGAGAGGGAUGCAGACACUGUCCAGUCCCUGCCCCUCCGCUCCCCCUAGUGUCCUCUCUGCUCAGGACCCUGCUUCAUUAGUCUGGUCAUUGUAAAUUCUUGAGGCCCAGCAUCCCCUCCUCGCCCCACCUGCCUCCUGACUGGGAGAAGAGGAGCCAACCAUGCAGGACAGACAGGUGGUUGCCCCUCUGAGCAGAGUAGACUGGGUCUAAAAAAUGAUGGGGCCCCAAGCCCCAUGCAGUACCCCAUCAUGCCUCACGUUCAUGUAAUUCCUUUACACUUUGACUUGUCUCUGUAGCAGAUCCAUGCCCCACAGGCGGUGCCUCCCCCAGAGAAAAGCUUUCAAGCAGAAGAUGGGGAGAGUCCUGCAACAAGGCCGCCCUCCCCGCCUCCCCUGUGCUCUCCCUAUGGCUGUGCUCCCACCCUAUCAGUCAUUUGGGCAGAGGGGCCCUUCUUCCCCAGGAUGGAUGUAGAGUGCCAAAACCAAGCACUGCAGGGCCAGCAGAUAGGGGCCAAGGCCAGAGGGAAGUCACUUCCAUCUUACCUGUCCUUGAGCUCAAGAGUUGAGACUGUAUAGUAACAGCCCUUCAGAGGCCAUAGAUGGGCAGGCCAACCUUGGGGAGGCCACAGAGAACCCCCGGAACAAGAUAGAGGGGUGUUAUGGCCAGCCUACCACCACCCGCCCACUUUUCUUUCAGUCCCUAUCCUUCCCAGACACCCAGAUCCAGGAAGCCCCAGGCUAGGCUGGGGAGGAGAGAACCCCAGCCCAAGCCCUAGGUGAGAAUGAGAAUGUCCCAGGUGGAGCACUUCCUCUCUACAGCCUGUGACCCCCCACCCCCAAGGUAAUGACACCCAGACAGAGCCAGACCCCUCUCUCCCCCAACCAUCUAUGGCUCCUAGGCUCCUGAAGAGCUUCCUGGUAUCAGGGAACUGAUACUGAACCACACUACACCUCUACCAAGGCCUCCACACUUGAGAGCCUGUAGCUAAAGUACUGAGGAGCAGGGCUGCCUGAGAUUUCUCUUGUGAGCAGCAGGCAUCUGGUGAGCCUCACUCAGUGAGAACUGGGGGCUUGGCAUCAGCUAGAGGACUGUUCAGACCCUCCAAGAAGGUCUGCUGGCCCUGGCAGGCUGGUGCAGCACUGAAGCCCCCAUCUUGAGUCAGAGGAGGAGUGCAGGUGAGAGGGGGACCAGCAGGGCAAGAUGGGUGUCAGCAGCAUGGGAAUAGAAACCACCCCACCCAGGAUACCUGAUGGUCUAGUUUCUAGGCACCAUCUCUAGGGUCAGAGGCAACACCCUGUCCCUCAUAUCCUGAGUACCCACAUCAGGCAGGGACCAGGCCUCACACUCCAGAGAUGGUGUGCCUGGACCAGCAUGACACCCGAACAUCAAAAGGCCCCAAAUUGCCCUGCCUCGGUGAAGAGGGGUCCCUGGAGCUUUAGAACCAGGAAUCUGGGCCUAGAAGCCUGACUCCCCAGGGGGUAUUUGAAAGAGAAGCUGAGGAAAUGCCAGCAACUGUUUAUAGCCCGUGGGAUAUACCAGCCCCAUCUCCUCCUGCCAGCCACCUGCAAGUUGUGGGGGUGAGCAUCCCUGCUCCAGAGCAGGAGACCCCAAAGGUUCAGAGACAGCAGACCUGUCUGAAAUCCCACAGCUCACCAUCUGCACAGCCCUGGGAGCUGGGAGCAAGGCCAGUGCUAACCCAGGGUACAGUGUUGUAAGGGAAGGGCACCGGGAUGGGGACAUUUACUCAGAAGGCCAGGGCAGGGCUUUCAACCCAGGCCAGGCUUGGCAGGCCUGGUCAACAGGAAAGGGUGGUUGAAUAGGCCUUCUGGUAGGAGAGUGGAGUUCAGUUCCCUCUGCAUGGAGCUAAGGCUGUCUGAGUAUAGGGGUAUAGGGGUGGUUGCUAAGGGGCGGUUGCUGAGGAUAUGAAUUGUCCCAUCAGCUAUUUAGGCGAUCCAGCCAUAGGGGCAGGGAGCAGGCCAGAGCUGG